AAUCACUACAUUAGAUCAUAGUAUGAUGAACCAUUUAUGCCGAGAUACACGCGGAGCAACACAUAGAUGAAAGUCAAAUCUAACAAUAUAGGAAUGAUCAGAUCUCCACCCAAAGCAGGAUUUGGUACAUUUGGUCCCGAAGGAAAUCCCAGAUUAACCAGUGUGGUGUGGUAGAUAGUUGUUUACAUGAACUGACAGAAGUAUACCAAGUAACAAAGUUAGUUAUUUACAGCCAAAGUUCAAUGCCUCCAAACCAAAGCUUAACUCCUAACAGGAAAUGUCUCCAAAUAUUGUGGCCAAACCUUAACUCCUAACAGGAAAUGUCUCCAAAUAUUGUGGCCAAACCUUGGAACCUAAAAAAAUGGAGAGAAAAACGAAAUCAGGAAAUGCAACAGACAGGAAGUCACAUAGGAUAAAACUAUCUCAUUGCACCUGACAUAUACAGUACUGCUAAGAAAUUUCAUUAUCAGUUAUUUUGUAGAUUUUUUAAUAGAAUUAGCUCACUGAUGAGAGCCAACUGAAACUUUGCUGAAAUACAAUUUGAUGUGAUAAACUUUUUUACAAUAGUUAAAGUCGAAUGUGCAUAUAUACUUAAGCAUGUACUGUGUCAAAUAUAUAUCUUCAGAACCGGAGAAUCAGCAUGCAUGUCAUCUGCUAUUUUUCUAAUAAAAAUGUUUCCGUACCAUCCAUCGUCUCAACCUUCUGAAUCCAACUAAUCCAAGCUCGCCAUCGCCAUCAAUGGCACAUCCAGCUCAUGAAAGGAUAAAUAGCAAUAAAACAUUUAUGCACCACUCGUGUGUGUGUGUGUACAUAACAAUGGAAUAGAAAACAAUGAAAAUGUCUCAUUCAUCUGCUUCCUACUGAACCAAAGUGUGCUCCUCCGAGAAACAAUCACCAAAAUAACAUUUAAAAUUAGUAAAGGAUAAUGCUACAAUUUUCAGAUUGUCGGCAGAGAGGUUAGAGCUAUCAUCGUGACAAUGUAUUGCCAGAUAAAUCAACUACUUAAGUGUAAUUAUAUAACUUCUAUUUCAUUACCCCAAAAAAAUAGUAUAGCAAAAAGGCAUGGAUUCAAAAACUUCUCCAAAAUCAUCUACUGGAAAAAUAAAUCAGAAAGACAAUGUCUGUCAUAUAUACACACAGGGGGGUCUAGAAGAAGAAAAAUCGGAUCAUCUGUAGGUGAUAUACCUUUGCAGAAGGACAACCUUAGAGGUACACUAAGUAGACUUCAAAGUGUGUAAACUGAUCUAAUAGGUGAAAGUUUAAUUCAACAAAUAUGGCAAUCACUAACUGCCCUAUAGUCAAGAGAUUGUAUCACUAAGCUGCCCCUUCUAAGCAAUAAUGGUAGCAGUUGCUUGCAGGGUGAGAAAGGUUAACUUUCCGAUAAGCAGACAUUCUUGAUUAUGAUCAAAACAAUAGCCUUGUUAUAUUACCUGGCGAUAUUGGGUGACUGAAACUUAAAGUCCACUAAGAAGUAAACAUCACAGGUUGCAGAACAGGACCAGGCUUGAAUUUCCAAACGUUUAUCAAAUGAUCUAAAAGUCCACUUUGAGACGCUAUCGUCUGCAGCAGAGCAGUAUAGUCAGAAGCAAAAAAACGCAACUAAGCAAUCAUGAAGGGAAAAAGACCAGAGUACUCCAGAGAACUGCCAAUAUUACUAAUUAAUACUGAAGCUAAAGAAGCACCCUCUAGAUUGACUAUAGUCAGAUUAACAAAGUUGAUAAGUAGACUUUCAUCGACUAACAAUAUACAGUAUUUAUUAGAACAAAGAUAAAGAAGUUACCACGCUUGUUAUAGAAGGAUAGAAGUUCUCACAUUACUUGAAAACAAAGAGGCAGAUCUACACUGCUUAUUAUGGUGGUGCAGAAGUGCCAGUUAAUCAGAUAAAAAAAUAUGUAUCAGAACUGUUAUAGCUUUAUAAGACGAAAUUGGAUGACACUUCCUUCAGUAUUUACUGUGCCAAAAUAUUUACUCUGACCUCGAAUGGCACUCACGAAGAAAUCUUGAACUAUGAAACCAUGUGAGCAUGGUCUAUGUUACCGUAAAGGACAAAGAAUAAAAAAUAUACAAAAAGGAAAUGACAUUUGUACAGUAAGGAAAACUAACCAUGAAUAGAUGAACCUUAAGGCACACAAUGGGAAUAAGACAGGAGUUUGUUCAGUAGAUUUACCAUUGGGCAAAAAUGUUAUUAGUAGGCUUAAGACACACGCAUGAGGCAUAACAGAUAAUGAAUGCCAGAACAUGGCAUCAUAAAAAAUGCACAGAAUAGGCCGAGCCCUGACUCAGGUAACAAAGAACAUGGGAUAUAUUAUUCUCCCUCUUUAUGCCAGAUUGUUAGUCCAGCAUCCAGUAUUGCUGCUAGCUUUGGAAAAGUGAACUCAAGAAAACUUUCUGAGUACAAAGCAGAAGAUCUUGCAGCAGCUCCAGUCAACUCUUUCACGUACAAUACUGGGUAGGUACUUUCUCCAGACAUUCGAACUACCAUGCGCCACUAUGAAGUACUCUCUAGUGUGCAUAUAUUUCUUCUCAAGAUAGCCUACUUUGUGGCUAAUUUAUCAGGCCAAAAUAGUGUAGACUGGCCCUAUAUCGGCAAGGUGAUGAUGAUAGCAGUUGUGGUUGCAGACACACAUGAAAGAUAUGUCUUUUUCAAAAUGACAGAACCGAAUUUAGAUGUGCAUGAGAUCAGGCAUACCUCACAUGGAGCAUGGGUGGUCCAUUGAUGUUGGUAGAACGGCGAGAUUGUACGACAGCUUAUGGAAUACGGGCAGCCUGCGGAGUUGGUAGAACGGUGAGACUGUAUAGAGCUAUGUUCGAAACUUGCGGCAUGACGAUGAGCCAAAUAGCUGCAGAUUAUCCCAGAGAGUUAGAAC
Molecule: long non-coding RNA, 2867 nt
Filed under: Triticum aestivum (bread wheat)
Lineage: Eukaryota; Viridiplantae; Streptophyta; Magnoliopsida; Poales; Poaceae
Description: long non-coding RNA (TAES_LNC010599)
Source: RNAcentral